GAAGGCCUGCUGGGACCUCAAGGCAACCCAUCAGCCACGGCUGUGACCAUUUUAGUUGCAGGCAAGCUGGCCUUUUGUUGAAGGUGCUUUGCAAUAUUUAAAUUGAAAACUUUACUCAGAAAGUUCUGCAGUCUGAAAUGGUUAGCUGCAGAUUAAUAAGGACCAAAGAUGUCACAGAGGUUGCUACUGAGUUCUUUGCAUAGAUUUCCCUUCUUAUUGGACUGGAGCCUGAAGAUACCUAUAAACUGAUGAUUAAGUAUCUACAGAGGGGCCAGACAUCUGGGUUUUGUUAUCAUCCAAGAAAAAAUAUUCUACGUUUUAGACCAGAAGAUAUAUCAUCCUGGGAAUGCACUGAUGGUUUGAAGUUUUAUCCUACAGACUCACCCAUCUUGGACUGGAUUUCAGGGCCCUGAGCGUGUGUUUUGUGUAGCAGCAGCAAAAUCAAAGGUGAGACCUCCAGGGUGCCACAUUGAAGGCACUCAGAGAAGAAUAAAAAUUCUUGACAUGGCUCACAAAAGGUCGAAAGAACAGAAAGAGAAGUAGAAAAUCAUGUCCUAUGCGUGGAGGUGAAACAUAUCUUACCUUAUUUCAUCUAUCUUGGAGCUAAGGAUUGAGUUAAGCCACUUAUAUCAGUACUCUGUAGUUUAUGAAGAGGCAGGCACCUACAAUGGACAAUUCAUCUUCUCCAAGAACAGAUGUACAUGAUGGAAGAAUUGGAAGUCUGUCUUUCAUCAGGGACUACUGGGAGAGCCCAGAUGAUGAGCUGAGACCAGAUGCUUAACUUUAAGCAGCUGACAUUAAAGGAGAUGAAUCUGUGACUUUAUCAGAAGAUGAGAUGUGAUUAUACCGCUGUGUGACCUGACACAACAAACUGAUUCUGAAGAAUAAACAUCUUGGAUUUUUCCAAAA
Long non-coding RNA from Pogoniulus pusillus (Red-fronted tinkerbird), 909 nucleotides. RefSeq lists it as uncharacterized. The transcript is spliced from 4 exons. NCBI's taxonomy places the organism in Eukaryota, Metazoa, Chordata, Aves, Piciformes, Lybiidae. The record is from RefSeq and is a predicted model, not a curated record.